Molecule: long non-coding RNA, 267 nt
Organism: Hibiscus syriacus
Lineage: Eukaryota; Viridiplantae; Streptophyta; Magnoliopsida; Malvales; Malvaceae
Exons: 3
Source: RefSeq, a predicted model, not a curated record
AAAUAGAAGCUUGAGCGUGUUCACGGGGUUAGAUAUAUAUAAACCCUAUUUUUUCACCAUAUCCUUUCCAGUUGUAGUUGCAGUCUGAGUCGCGGCAUAUCCAUCAUUAUUUCUCAUACUGUUAAGAUGAACAAGGAAAGGCUCAUGAAAAUGGUUGGUGCAGUCCGCACCGGUGGUAAGGGUAGCAUGAGAAGAAAGAAGAUGGCUGUCCACAAGACAACUACCACUGACGACAAGCGGUUACAGAGCACCCUCAAGGGGUAUCGG